Molecule: unclassified non-coding RNA, 233 nt
Filed under: plant metagenome
Description: partial contains small subunit ribosomal RNA, internal transcribed spacer 1, and 5.8S ribosomal RNA
Source: RNAcentral
UUUCCGUAGGUGAACCUGCGGAAGGAUCAUUAUUGGAUUUUGAAACUUCAGGCUGCUGCUGGCUCUCCUCGGAGGGCAUGUGCACGCUUGUUGUCCAUUAUUUCUCCCACUGUGCACAAAUUGUAGGCCUUUCAGUAGGCCUAUGUUGUUUUUCACAAUCUCUGAAUGUAAUAGAAUGGUUUUGAAUCUUGGGAAAUACAAUACAACUUUCAGCGACGGAUCUCUUGGCUCUC